This 302-nucleotide unclassified non-coding RNA is filed under the name Hevea brasiliensis (rubber tree). The record is from RNAcentral. Lineage: Eukaryota; Viridiplantae; Streptophyta; Magnoliopsida; Malpighiales; Euphorbiaceae.
GGGGGGGUGGGGUUGGGUUUGGAAGGGAGUGGUGAGGGAUCUAUAAGGAGAUGAAAAUGACGAUGACAGUAUUAAGAAAAAAGAUCAUCCUAUUACAAUUAACUCUGCAAGCUCCAAGUUCGGGGCUACGAGCAAGCAGUAAUAGGUCCCUGCAAAAGUCACAACAAUGCACCUACUCAAUUGUUCAUUAAACAGACCUCUGAGCUAUAAAAUUACACGUGGCCUAUGUUACUCAGACUCAGGUAUGAGUGUCAGGAAUGGAUACAUACCUGUAUGUUAGACUUGUGAACUUUCUAAAUAAA